RNAcentral lists this long non-coding RNA (276 nucleotides) under Brassica rapa (field mustard). Its description in RNAcentral is "long non-coding RNA (BRAP_LNC008189)". Lineage: Eukaryota; Viridiplantae; Streptophyta; Magnoliopsida; Brassicales; Brassicaceae. The record is from RNAcentral.
AAAGGCCCAACAGAGGGAAACCCUAAGUAACCCUAAUCCAGAAACCUAUAUAAAGAGGAGUCUCCCUAUAGCUGAGCCAUCAGACACUCACCAAGCGAAGCCCUGCGAGAUCCGAGAGCCGCCGCCGCCGCCAGCCCACCAAGGAACCGCCGCCGCCGAUCACCGCCCGCGUAGCCCAAGUCGCCGAUCGCGGGUACCAAGCCGCCGGCUUCUCGAUUCUGUGGCGUGUAACCGUCUUCGUUUGGAUUACUAAGAUCUCUGAGUACCAGAUCCGGA